This 92-nucleotide small RNA is filed under the name Marmota monax (woodchuck). Lineage: Eukaryota; Metazoa; Chordata; Mammalia; Rodentia; Sciuridae. The record is from RNAcentral.
GCCGGGUGCACUGGCACAUGCCUGUAAUCCCAGCAGCUCGGGAGGCUGAGGUGGGAGGAUCAUGAGUUCAACUCAGUGAGAACCUGUCUCUA